UACGAAGGGUGCUAGCGUUGUUCGGCGUUACGGGGCGUAAAGCUCGAAUCGGCGGGUCGUUAAGUUGGGGGUGAAAUCCCGGAGCUCAACUCCGGAACUGCCUUCAAAACUGGCGACCUGGACUCAAGCAGAGGCAAGUGGAAUUGCGAGUGUAGAGGUGAAAUUCGUAGAUAUUCGCAGGAACACCAGUGGCGAAUGCGCCUUGCUGGGCUUGUAGUGACGCUGAGACGCGAAAGCGUCGGGAGCAAACAGG
Molecule: ribosomal RNA, 253 nt
Filed under: uncultured bacterium
Lineage: Bacteria
Description: partial 16S ribosomal RNA
Rfam family: Bacterial small subunit ribosomal RNA
Source: RNAcentral